RNAcentral lists this ribosomal RNA (465 nucleotides) under Vreelandella stevensii. Its description in RNAcentral is "partial 16S ribosomal RNA". It matches the Rfam family "Bacterial small subunit ribosomal RNA", at positions 338 to 795 of the family's 1533-position model. Lineage: Bacteria; Pseudomonadati; Pseudomonadota; Gammaproteobacteria; Oceanospirillales; Halomonadaceae. The record is from RNAcentral.
CCUACGGGUGGCAGCAGUGGGGAAUAUUGGACAAUGGGGGGAACCCUGAUCCAGCCAUGCCGCGUGUGUGAAGAAGGCCCUCGGGUUGUAAAGCACUUUCAGUGAGGAAGAACGCCUGGUGGUUAAUACCCAUCAGGAAAGACAUCACUCACAGAAGAAGCACCGGCUAACUCCGUGCCAGCAGCCGCGGUAAUACGGAGGGUGCGAGCGUUAAUCGGAAUUACUGGGCGUAAAGCGCGCGUAGGUGGCUUGAUAAGCCGGUUGUGAAAGCCCCGGGCUCAAACUGGGAACGGCAUCCGGAACUGUCAAGCUAGAGUGCAGGAGAGGAAGGUAGAAUUCCCUGUGUAGCGGUGAAAUGCGUAGAGAUCGGGAGGAAUACCAGUGGCGAAGGCGGCCUUCUGGACUGACACUGACACUGAGGUGCGAAAGCGUGGGUAGCAAACAGGAUUAGCUACCCGUGUAGUC